This 300-nucleotide ribosomal RNA is filed under the name Anaerococcus sp. AB/03/2012. RNAcentral describes it as "bacterial SSU rRNA". It matches the Rfam family "Bacterial small subunit ribosomal RNA", at positions 1202 to 1503 of the family's 1533-position model. Lineage: Bacteria; Bacillati; Bacillota; Tissierellia; Tissierellales; Peptoniphilaceae. The record is from RNAcentral.
UUAUGACUUGGGCUUACACGUGCUACCAUGGGAGGUACAGAGGGUCGCGAAAGAGCGAUCUGAAGCUAAUCUCUUAAAUCUGUCCCAGUUCGGAUUGUACUCUGCAACUCGCCUACAUGAAGUUGGAAUUGCUAGUAAUCGCGAAUCAGAAUGUCGCGGUGAAUGCGUUCCCGGGUCUUGUACACACCGCCCGUCACACCAUGAGAGUUGGUAAUACCCGAAGCCUGUGAGCGAACCAAUUGGACGCAGCCGUCUAAGGUAGGAUCAAUGACUGGGGUGAAGUCGUAACAAGGUAGCCGU